This 443-nucleotide ribosomal RNA is filed under the name uncultured bacterium. Its description in RNAcentral is "partial 16S ribosomal RNA". It matches the Rfam family "Bacterial small subunit ribosomal RNA", at positions 338 to 795 of the family's 1533-position model. The record is from RNAcentral.
CCUACGGGUGGCAGCAGUGGGGAAUAUUGGGCAAUGGACGCAAGCCUGACCCAGCAACGCCGCGUGAAGGAAGAAGGCUUUCGGGUUGUAAACUUCUUUUGACAGGGACGUAGCAAGUGACGGUACCUGACGAAUAAGCCACGGCUAACUACGUGCCAGCAGCCGCGGUAAUACGUAGGUGGCAAGCGUUAUCCGGAUUUACUGGGUGUAACGGGCGUGUAGGCGGGACUGUAAGUCAGAUGUGAAAACCACGGGCUCAACCUGUGGUCUGCAGUUGAAACUGUAGUUCUUGAGUACUGGAGGGGCAGACGGAAUUCCUAGUGUAGCGGUGAAAUGCGUAGAUAUUAGGAGGAACACCAGUGGCGAAGGCGAUCUGCUGGACAGCAACUGACGCUGAGGCGCGAAAGCGUGGGGAGCAAACAGGAUUAGAUACCCCUGUAGUC